GCAUUGGUGGUUCCAUGGUAGAAUUCUUGCCUUCUGUGUGGGAGAUUUGUGUUCAAUUCCCAACCAAUGCA
RNAcentral lists this transfer RNA (71 nucleotides) under Loxodonta africana (African savanna elephant). It matches the Rfam family "tRNA". Rfam says of the family: Transfer RNA (tRNA) molecules are approximately 80 nucleotides in length. Their secondary structure includes four short double-helical elements and three loops (D, anti-codon, and T loops). Lineage: Eukaryota; Metazoa; Chordata; Mammalia; Proboscidea; Elephantidae. The record is from Rfam by way of RNAcentral.